This 585-nucleotide ribosomal RNA is filed under the name uncultured Gammaproteobacteria bacterium. Its description in RNAcentral is "bacterial SSU rRNA". It matches the Rfam family "Bacterial small subunit ribosomal RNA", at positions 1 to 573 of the family's 1533-position model. The record is from RNAcentral. Lineage: Bacteria; Pseudomonadati; Pseudomonadota; Gammaproteobacteria.
GCCCUUAGAGUUUGAUCCUGGCUCAGAUUGAACGCUGGCGGCAUGCCUAACACAUGCAAGUCGAACGGUAACAGGAACUAGCUUGCUAGUUUGCUGACGAGUGGCGGACGGGUGAGUAACACGUAGGAAUCUGCCUUGCAGCGGGGGAUAGCCCGGGGAAACUCGGAUUAAUACCGCAUACGCUCUACGGAGGAAAGUGGGCCUUUUCUUGAAAGCUCACACUGCAGGAUGAGCCUACGUCCGAUUAGCUUGUUGGUGGGGUAAAAGCCUACCAAGGCGACGAUCGGUAGCUGGUCUGAGAGGAUGAUCAGCCACACCGGGACUGAGACACGGCCCGGACUCCUACGGGAGGCAGCAGUGGGGAAUAUUGGACAAUGGGCGCAAGCCUGAUCCAGCAAUGCCGCGUGUGUGAAGAAGGCCUGCGGGUUGUAAAGCACUUUUAUUGGGGAAGAAACGGCCUGGGCGAAUACCCCAUGGCAAUUGACGGUACCCAAGGAAUAAGCACCGGCUAACUCCGUGCCAGCAGCCGCGGUAAUACGGAGGGUGCAAGCGUUAAUCGGAAUUACUGGGCGUAAAGCGUGCGUA